UGCCAUGACGGGGAGCGACACCUAUGAGCCGCAGUUGGCGGAGGGUGGCGCCAUCUAUGAGAAAAGGUUUAGCGUAGGUAUUGGGGGAGCGCCUGGAACAAAACGAAUUCCGGUAGUUCGCCAUUUGUGGACCCCAGGAGCCAGCCCGCCGAAAAUCCGGCGUCGGUCCGCUUAUGGGUAUGGGUGGGAUCAUUCCCAAGCAAGAUCUGCAACAAGCCAGACGUGUCAGCAAGGCGCUAAGCAGCAAAACCACGGGGAAAAAAACCAACAAUAUUCGAAGAUCCCGCCGGCAGUUGUGACAAUUAAUUUUGGGGACGCUCAAAGGCUCCCAAUUGUCCACCGGCGUCAGUAAACCGAGUGUAGAGGUGGAAGUGGUGGCUCGAGGAAAACCCAGGGGCCGAGCAAAAGUCCGAGUGGACUAUUCCGUGUCCCCUAUUAAAGAACUCCAGGUGGCUCAACUAAGGAAGUCCAACCAAAGGCGGACGGAGGAGCACCGAGGAAGGAGAAGAAAUCCCGGCCUAAAAUAGGCUAACCGCAGCAAGUUCGCUUCGAACCGAAGCUAGGUUCGAGCGAACGGAGGAGCGCAGAGGAGGCGCUAACCGCAGUGUAGCGCGAGAUUCAAGUACGGGAGGGAGGAAAACCUCGGAGGAGUCCCCCUGAAAAAGGUCCAGUUUCGGAUCCGGCCGUAGUGUCCCUGAAAGUGAUUUUGAGGAGCCAAUUUAGUGAUUCAGUCAAACCAAAGUGAAAUGCAUAAAAUUUAGGCAAGAAAAAAAAAAAAAAUCGGAAGAGAACCGAAGAAAAAAAAAAUGUAAGGAAGCCAAGAAAAAUUAACGUAACGUCCCUAAUGGCCUGAUCGGGAAACAAGGCUCGUCAGAAGAAAGUUAUAGUCACUACCAAUUGUGUUUGUUGUCGUGGUUUUAUUUAUUUGUGCGCCCCAUUGGGGAAAUUUUUGUAUAGUCUAAAACCUUUGUUUCAGCGACCCCUCGAAAGCGCUUU
This is a long non-coding RNA of Drosophila ananassae, 996 nucleotides long. RefSeq lists it as uncharacterized. The record is from RefSeq and is a predicted model, not a curated record. NCBI's taxonomy places the organism in Eukaryota, Metazoa, Arthropoda, Insecta, Diptera, Drosophilidae. The transcript is spliced from 2 exons.